This 426-nucleotide ribosomal RNA is filed under the name uncultured bacterium. Its description in RNAcentral is "partial 16S ribosomal RNA". It matches the Rfam family "Bacterial small subunit ribosomal RNA", at positions 354 to 796 of the family's 1533-position model. The record is from RNAcentral.
GUGAGGAAUUUUCCGCAAUGGGCGAAAGCCUGACGGAGCAAUGCCGCGUGAAGGAUGAAGGCCUAUGGGUUGUAAACUUCUUUUCUCAGAAAAGAAUUAUGACGAUAUCUGAGGAAUAAGCAUCGGCUAACUCUGUGCCAGCAGCCGCGGUAAGACAGAGGAUGCAAGCGUUAUCCGGAAUGAUUGGGCGUAAAGCGUCUGUAGGUUGUUUAAAAAGUAUUCUGUCAAAGAUUAGGGCUUAACCCUAGAUAGGCAGAAUAAACUUUUAAGCUAGAGUUUGGUAGAGGCAGAGGGAAUUCCCGGUGGAGCGGUGAAAUGCGUAGAUAUCGGGAGGAACACCAAAGGCGAAGGCACUCUGCUGGGCCAAUACUAACACUGAGAGACGAAAGCGAGGGGAGCAAAUGGGAUUAGAUACCCUUGUAGUCC